This 73-nucleotide transfer RNA is filed under the name Danio rerio (zebrafish). RNAcentral's name for it is "tRNA-Lys (CTT) (tRNA-Lys-CTT-184-1)". It matches the Rfam family "tRNA". Rfam says of the family: Transfer RNA (tRNA) molecules are approximately 80 nucleotides in length. Lineage: Eukaryota; Metazoa; Chordata; Actinopteri; Cypriniformes; Danionidae. The record is from Rfam by way of RNAcentral.
GCUCGGCUAGCUCAGUUGGUAGAGCAUGAGACUCUUGAUCUCAGGGUCAUGGGUUCAAGCCCCAUGUUGGACG